RNAcentral lists this ribosomal RNA (515 nucleotides) under Nematoda environmental sample. Its description in RNAcentral is "SSU rRNA". It matches the Rfam family "Eukaryotic small subunit ribosomal RNA", at positions 58 to 570 of the family's 1831-position model. Lineage: Eukaryota; Metazoa; Nematoda. The record is from RNAcentral.
UCUAAGCACAUGCCUUAAUACGGUGAAGCCGCGAAUAGCUCAUUACAACAGCCACCGUUUACUAGAAUAUAGUUAUCCUACUUGGAUAACUGUGGCAAUUCUAGAGCUAAUACAUGCAAAAAAGCUCCGACCGCAAGGAACGAGCGCAUUUAUUAGAAUAAAAACCAAUCGGGUUUCGGCCCGUAAUUUGGUGAAUCUGAAUAACUUUGCCAAUCGCACAGUCCUAGUACUGGCGAUGUAUCUUUCAAGUGUCUGCCUUAUCAACUUUCGAUGGUAGGUUAUACGCCUACCAUGGUAGUAACGGGUAACGGAGAAUAAGGGUUCGACUCCGGAGAGGGAGCCUGAGAAACGGCUACCACAUCCAAGGAAGGCAGCAGGCGCGCAAAUUACCCACUUCCAGAACGGAGAGGUAGUGACGAAAAAUAACGAGACAGUCCUCUUCGAGGUCUGUCAUCGGAAUGGGUACAAUUUAAAUCCUUUAACGAGGAUCUAUUGGAGGGCAAGUCUGGUGCCAG